CGCCGCCGGGCGCGCAUGCGCAGUGCCUGCGGGGGCGACCAGGGGUCAGGGCGCCGGAGGGUCCUUGGGGCAGGUGGGGGUCAGGGUCCCAGGCCCCCCCGUGGGAAGUUGGGGGCCUUCCCUUGUUUGCAGCCCCUGAGGUUCCCUCUGCACCGCAGGACCAGCCAUGGCGGCGCUGCGACUGCUGUACCGGGCUUCCCGCACAGGCCCCCCGGUCCCGCUGCGCCUGCUCAGCACCAGCACCCCCAGGGACUGCUACAAGUACGUCAACGUCCAGGAGCCCGCCAUGGACAUGCGCUCCAUCACCGACCGCGCCGCGCAGACCCUGCUCUGGACCGAGCUCAUCCGAGGCCUGGCCAUGACCAUGAGCUACCUGUUCCGGGAGCCGGCCACCAUCAACUACCCGUUCGAGAAGGGCCCGCUGAGCCCGCGGUUCCGCGGGGAGCACGCGCUGCGCCGCUACCCAUCCGGGGAGGAGCGCUGCAUUGCCUGCAAGCUCUGCGAGGCCGUGUGCCCAGCACAGGCCAUCACCAUCGAGGCCGAGCCCCGCGCCGACGGCAGCCGCCGCACCACCCGCUACGACAUUGACAUGACCAAGUGCAUCUACUGCGGGUUCUGCCAGGAGGCCUGUCCCGUGGAUGCCAUCGUGGAGGGUCCCAACUUCGAGUUUUCGACGGAGACACACGAGGAGCUGCUCUACAACAAGGAGAAGCUGCUCAACAACGGCGACAAGUGGGAGGCCGAGAUCGCUGCCAACAUCCAGGCCGAUUACCUGUACCGGUGACGGCCCCCCCAGCACCCACCCACCACCAAAUAAAGGGUCUGGGGGUUCACCCACCACCGGGGGCACCGGCCCCUUCCCGA
Molecule: RNA transcript, 864 nt
Organism: Pseudopipra pipra
Lineage: Eukaryota; Metazoa; Chordata; Aves; Passeriformes; Pipridae
Gene: NDUFS8
Gene name: NADH:ubiquinone oxidoreductase core subunit S8
Exons: 7
Source: RefSeq, a predicted model, not a curated record